UGGGGAAUUUUGGACAAUGGGCGAAGCCUGAUCCAGCAAUGCCGCGUGUGUGAAGAAGGCCUUCGGGUUGUAAAGCACUUUUGUCCGGAAAGAAAUCCUUGGCUCUAAUACAGUCGGGGGAUGACGGUACCGGAAGAAUAAGCACCGGCUAACUACGUGCCAGCAGCCGCGGUAAUACGUAGGGUGCAAGCGUUAAUCGGAAUUACUGGGGCGUAAAGCGUGCGCAGGCGGCUUGCUAAGACCGAUGUGAAAUCCCCGGGCUCAACCUGGGAACUGCAUUGGUGACUGGCAGGCUAGAGUAUGGCAGAGGGGGGUAGAAUUCCACGUGUAGCAGUGAAAUGCGUAGAGAUGUGGAGGAAUACCGAUGGCGAAGGCAGCCCCUGGGCCAAUACUGACGCUCAUGCACGAAAGCGUGGGGAGCAAACAGGAUUAGAUACCCUGGUAGUCCACGCCCUAAACGAUGUCAACUAGUUGUUGGGGACUUCAUUUCCUUAGUAACGUAGCUAACGCGUGAAGUUGACCGCCU
RNAcentral lists this ribosomal RNA (526 nucleotides) under uncultured bacterium. RNAcentral describes it as "partial 16S ribosomal RNA". It matches the Rfam family "Bacterial small subunit ribosomal RNA", at positions 355 to 874 of the family's 1533-position model. The record is from RNAcentral.